This 533-nucleotide small RNA is filed under the name Ischnoderma sp. MS-2015. RNAcentral's name for it is "eukaryotic LSU rRNA". The stretch from base 155 to 308 matches the Rfam family "5.8S ribosomal RNA". Lineage: Eukaryota; Fungi; Basidiomycota; Agaricomycetes; Polyporales; Ischnodermataceae. The record is from RNAcentral.
GGGACAUGUGCACGCCUUGNUCAUCUCCAUUCACACCUGUGCACUCUUUGUAGGUUGGUUUUGGACUUGACCUUACGGUCUCGUUUAAGCUUGCCUAUGAUUUUAUACAUACACUCAGUUUAUAGAAUGUCAUUGCGUUAAACGCAUUAUAUACAACUUUCAGCAACGGAUCUCUUGGCUCUCGCAUCGAUGAAGAACGCAGCGAAAUGCGAUAAGUAAUGUGAAUUGCAGAAUUCAGUGAAUCAUCGAAUCUUUGAACGCACCUUGCGCUCCUUGGUAUUCCGAGGAGCAUGCCUGUUUGAGUGUCAUGGAAUUCUCAACCCAUCAGUCUUGUUAUGAGGCUUUGAUGGGCUUGGAUUUGGAGGUUUAUGCUGCAUUUUUAUUAGUGCGGCUCCUCUUGAAUGUAUUAGUAGAACCUGCCGAGCAGUUCUCAGUGUGAUAAUUGUCUACGCUGUGAUUGCGAAAGCAUUAUGGGAUCUGCUUCUAACUGUCUACUUGUUUAGACAAUUUAUUUAACAUCUGACCUCAAAUCA